AAGAAAGUGACAGAACGGCUAUGCGGUUGGCUUGAAACCAGCUUACGGGGGUUCGAUUCCCUCCUUUCUCG
This 71-nucleotide transfer RNA is filed under the name Gambusia holbrooki (eastern mosquitofish). RNAcentral describes it as "tRNA-Ser". It matches the Rfam family "tRNA". Rfam says of the family: Transfer RNA (tRNA) molecules are approximately 80 nucleotides in length. The record is from RNAcentral. Lineage: Eukaryota; Metazoa; Chordata; Actinopteri; Cyprinodontiformes; Poeciliidae.